This 482-nucleotide ribosomal RNA is filed under the name uncultured Desulfobulbus sp. RNAcentral describes it as "bacterial SSU rRNA". It matches the Rfam family "Bacterial small subunit ribosomal RNA", at positions 903 to 1382 of the family's 1533-position model. The record is from RNAcentral. Lineage: Bacteria; Pseudomonadati; Thermodesulfobacteriota; Desulfobulbia; Desulfobulbales; Desulfobulbaceae.
AAAGGAAUUGACGGGGCCCGCACAAGCGGUGGAGUAUGUGGUUUAAUUCGAUGCAACGCGAAGAACCUUACCUGGUCUUGACAUCCCGGAGACCCUUAGGAAACUAGGGGGUGCUUCCAUCUGGAAGAAUCUGGAGACAGGUGCUGCAUGGCUGUCGUCAGCUCGUGUCGUGAGAUGUUGGGUUAAGUCCCGCAACGAGCGCAACCCUUGCCUUUAGUUGCCAGCAGUUCGGCUGGGCACUCUAAAGGGACUGCCGGUGUUAACCGAGGAAGGUGGGGAUGACGUCAAGUCCUCAUGGCCUUUAUGACCAGGGCUACACACGUACUACAAUGGCCGAUACAAAGGGCAGCGACACUGCGAGGUGAAGCCAAUCCCGUAAAAUCGGUCUCAGUCCGGAUUGGAGUCUGCAACUCGACUCCAUGAAGUUGGAAUCGCUAGUAAUCGUGGAUCAGCAUGCCACGGUGAAUACGUUCCCGGGCCUU